RNAcentral lists this ribosomal RNA (353 nucleotides) under Yokenella sp. SS6. RNAcentral describes it as "partial 16S ribosomal RNA". The stretch from base 1 to 294 matches the Rfam family "Bacterial small subunit ribosomal RNA", at positions 1090 to 1387 of the family's 1533-position model. Lineage: Bacteria; Pseudomonadati; Pseudomonadota; Gammaproteobacteria; Enterobacterales; Enterobacteriaceae. The record is from RNAcentral.
CAACAAGCCCAACCCGUACCCUUGUAACCAAAGAUUCGGCCGGGAACUCAAAGGAGAAUCCCAGUGAUAACCGGAGGAAGGGGGGGAUGACGCCAAGUCAUCAUGGCCCUUACGAGUAGGGCUACACACGUGCUACAAUGGCAUAUACAAAGAGAAGCGACCUCGCGAGACCCACCGCACCUCACAAAGUAUGUGGUAGUCCGGAUCGGAGUCUGCAACUCGACUCCGUGAAGUCGGAAUCGCUAGAAAUCGUGGAUCAGAAUCCACGGUGAAUACGUUCCCGGGCCUUGUUCGGGGGCGCCCGUCCCACCAUGGAAUCCCCUGCCGGCUUGCUCUUCUUUUUUUGGGGGUUU